AUCUACAAGCCACAUGGAAUCUAUUUUUCUUUAUGGUAUGAGAUAGAAGCGAAGAUUUAUUUUUUGACCAGAUGGACAUCUAAUUGGCCCAGAAUCACUUGAUGAAAAGACCAUCCUUUCACCGUUGCACUUCAGUAUUCUUUUUAUCAUAACCAAGGAGCUGUCUGUGUGUGAGUCUUAGAGGACAAGUUUUUAAAAAAUCAAUUGUUCUAUGGCCGAGAUUUCCCUGCGAUAAAAGACAGAUUAACAAGAGAAAAACAAACGGAAAUUUAUUAACAUGCAUGCCUCAUUUAUACGUGGGAGAUGCUCGGGAAACCUGACUAAAACUCUCCAAAAUGGCCCAAGCUACCUCCUUGAACACCAUCUUCAGGGAGGACAAAAGAAAGAUGUUGAGGGUAGGAGAAGUAAGGAGGCCAGCUACGGAAAGUCAUCAGGAAAAACGCGGAGCUGGUGAUGCAGGCAGGCUCCCAAAGUUACACCUAUAUGAUUCGAGAAAUCAGGCCCCCACCACUGCACUCUGACCUAAGUUGCUGGAGGAAAAGUUUCCCCCCAACAAAGAGCAAAUGAUAAAGCAAAUGAGACAAGAUGUUGAUGAUAGGUG
RNAcentral lists this long non-coding RNA (601 nucleotides) under Equus caballus (horse). RNAcentral's name for it is "lncRNA (ENSECAG00000057299.1)". Lineage: Eukaryota; Metazoa; Chordata; Mammalia; Perissodactyla; Equidae. The record is from RNAcentral.